This 819-nucleotide ribosomal RNA is filed under the name uncultured Acidovorax sp. Its description in RNAcentral is "bacterial SSU rRNA". It matches the Rfam family "Bacterial small subunit ribosomal RNA", at positions 102 to 918 of the family's 1533-position model. Lineage: Bacteria; Pseudomonadati; Pseudomonadota; Betaproteobacteria; Burkholderiales; Comamonadaceae. The record is from RNAcentral.
ACGGGUGAGUAAUACAUCGGAACGUGCCCGAUCGUGGGGGAUAACGGAGCGAAAGCUUUGCUAAUACCGCAUACGAUCUACGGAUGAAAGCAGGGGACCGCAAGGCCUUGCGCGGACGGAGCGGCCGAUGGCAGAUUAGGUAGUUGGUGGGAUAAAAGCUUACCAAGCCGACGAUCUGUAGCUGGUCUGAGAGGACGACCAGCCACACUGGGACUGAGACACGGCCCAGACUCCUACGGGAGGCAGCAGUGGGGAAUUUUGGACAAUGGGCGAAAGCCUGAUCCAGCCAUGCCGCGUGCAGGAUGAAGGCCUUCGGGUUGUAAACUGCUUUUGUACGGAACGAAAAGACUCCUUCUAAUAAAGGGGGUCCAUGACGGUACCGUAAGAAUAAGCACCGGCUAACUACGUGCCAGCAGCCGCGGUAAUACGUAGGGUGCGAGCGUUAAUCGGAAUUACUGGGCGUAAAGCGUGCGCAGGCGGUUAUGUAAGACAGAUGUGAAAUCCCCGGGCUCAACCUGGGAAUUGCAUUAGUGACUGCAUAGCUUGAGUGCGGCAGAGGGGGAUGGAAUUCCGCGUGUAGCAGUGAAAUGCGUAGAUAUGCGGAGGAACACCGAUGGCGAAGGCAAUCCCCUGGGCCUGCACUGACGCUCAUGCACGAAAGCGUGGGGAGCAAACAGGAUUAGAUACCCCGGUAGUCCACGCCCUAAACGAUGUCAACUGGUUGUUGGGAAUUCACUUUCUCAGUAACGAAGCUAACGCGUGAAGUUGACCGCCUGGGGAGUACGGCCGCAAGGUUAAAACUCAAAGGAAUUGACGGGG